This 62-nucleotide ribosomal RNA is filed under the name Fusarium equiseti. RNAcentral describes it as "partial 28S ribosomal RNA". Lineage: Eukaryota; Fungi; Ascomycota; Sordariomycetes; Hypocreales; Nectriaceae. The record is from RNAcentral.
UUGACCUCGGAUCAGGUAGGAAUACCCGCUGAACUUAAGCAUAUCAAUAAGCGGAGGCCGCA